RNAcentral lists this ribosomal RNA (468 nucleotides) under uncultured bacterium. RNAcentral's name for it is "partial 16S ribosomal RNA". It matches the Rfam family "Bacterial small subunit ribosomal RNA", at positions 28 to 506 of the family's 1533-position model. The record is from RNAcentral.
GACGAACGCUGGCGGCGUGCUUAACACAUGCAAGUCGAACGGAAAGGCCCUGCUUUUGUGGGGUGCUCGAGUGGCGAACGGGUGAGUAACACGUGAGUAACCUGCCCUUGACUUUGGGAUAACUUCAGGAAACUGGGGCUAAUACCGGAUAGGAGCUCCUGCUGCAUGGUGGGGGUUGGAAAGUUUCGGCGGUUGGGGAUGGACUCGCGGCUUAUCAGCUUGUUGGUGGGGUAGUGGCUUACCAAGGCUUUGACGGGUAGCCGGCCUGAGAGGGUGACCGGGCCCAAUGGGACUUGGGAAACGGCCCGAAUUCCAAGGGGGGGAAGAGGGGGGGAAUAUGCCAAAAGGGGCGGAGGCCUGAGGAGGCAAGCCCGGGGGGGGAAGGCGGGCCUUGGGGUGGAAAACCGCUUCGCCCGGGAACGAAGGGGGGGGGGGGUAAAUGGGAAAAAAAGCACCGGUAAACUAGGG